AACGAACGCUGGCGGCAGGCCUAACACAUGCAAGUCGAACGCCCUAGCAAUAGGGAGUGGCAGACGGGUGAGUAACACGUGGGAACCUUCCCUAUAGUACGGAAUAUACCAGGGAAACUUGGAGCAAUACCGUAUACGCCCGAGAGGGGAAAGAUUUAUCGCUAUAGGAUGGGCCCGCGUAGGAUUAGCUAGUUGGUGAGGUAAUGGCUCACCAAGGCGACGAUCCUUAGCUGGUUUGAGAGAACGACCAGCCACACUGGGACUGAGACACGGCCCAGACUCCUACGGGAGGCAGCAGUGGGGAAGUAUUGGACAAUGGGCGCAAGCCUGAUCCAGCCAUGCCGCGUGAGUGAUGAAGGCCUUAGGGUUGUAAAGCUCUUUUGCCGGGGACGAUAAUGACGGUACCCGAGAAUAAGUCCCGGCUAACUUCGUGCCAGCCGCCGCAGUAAC
Molecule: ribosomal RNA, 450 nt
Filed under: uncultured bacterium
Lineage: Bacteria
Description: bacterial SSU rRNA
Rfam family: Bacterial small subunit ribosomal RNA
Source: RNAcentral